UGCCCCGUGGCUGAGUUGGUUACAGCGUCCGACUGUUACUUCUGCGAUAUCGGAAGGUCGUGAGUUCGAGCCUCACCGGGGCAG
This 84-nucleotide transfer RNA is filed under the name Pilatotrama ljubarskyi. RNAcentral's name for it is "tRNA-Asn". It matches the Rfam family "tRNA". Rfam says of the family: Transfer RNA (tRNA) molecules are approximately 80 nucleotides in length. Their secondary structure includes four short double-helical elements and three loops (D, anti-codon, and T loops). Lineage: Eukaryota; Fungi; Basidiomycota; Agaricomycetes; Polyporales; Polyporaceae. The record is from RNAcentral.